UUAUCUACUAUUCAAAAUCAUAAAAUAACUAAACUAAAAAAAAAACAGAGUAAGACACAUAAUCUAAAUUUAAAUCUCCACAAUUACAAAGAAAAAAUAAAAUACUAUAGUAACACUAACUCUGGAACACAAACGAACACGAUCAAGCACUAACCCAAAACACCAAAAAAAGGAUCAGAGGAAGAAUAAUCACCGGAAGACCAAAGUCACCACGAAGCAGAAAAACAUAUGCAUAAAGCACAACCACCAGCUAAAAAGUAAAACAAAGAGCCCAUGCCAAUGAAGAACCACAAAACUAUGAAUAGAAGAG
Molecule: long non-coding RNA, 310 nt
Filed under: Brassica napus (rape)
Lineage: Eukaryota; Viridiplantae; Streptophyta; Magnoliopsida; Brassicales; Brassicaceae
Description: long non-coding RNA (BNAP_LNC000497)
Source: RNAcentral